GUUAACUUGAGUAUGGUAAUGUGUGUUUUAACUUUAAAGUAAUUCAUUAAAUUAGCCUUUAGGUAGAAACAAAGUGGCGUAGAAAAAUUAUUUCAGCAACUCAGGGAUAUACUAUUAUUGCUAAAGUAAUGCCACCAAAUUUACGGAAGCCAUGUGCACAUUGUAUUUUGUGUGUUAAACUUUUCAAGUGGUUUCCAGUUGUUUUCAUUACUGCCAUUAUCGCUUGGUCGUACUACGCCUACGUGAUUCAGUUAUGUUUCCUUACAGUUGACAGUAUAGCAGAGAAGGUGGUGUACUUAUUUCUGUAUCAUAUCUUUCUUGCUAUGUUGGUGUGGUCUUAUUGGCAGACUAUUUUUACAGAUAUAUACACUGUUCCAAAAGAGUUUCAAAUUCCAUCUUCUGAUAUGGAAAAACUCUUAAAAGAAUCCAAUGAGGAAUGUCAACGUAUCAUUUUAGAAAAUGUUUCCAAAGACUUGCAUGUACCUGUAGCUUGUCGAACUUUCAGUGGUUGUGUUAGAUUUUGUGAUAAAUGUCACCAUAUUAAACCUGAUAGAGCACAUCAUUGUUCAGUGUGUGGAGUGUGUGUUUUGAAAAUGGAUCAUCACUGUCCAUGGGUGAACAACUGUGUAUCAUUUUCAAACUACAAGUUUUUCAUCCUUUUCUUAGGAUAUGCUUUGAUUUACUGUGUAUUUAUUGCUGCUACUUCAUUGCAAUACUUUAUCCAGUUCUGGAAGAACAAUUUGGAAGGAUUUGGGAGAUUCCAUAUAUUAUUCCUGUUUUUUGUUGCUAUUAUGUUUGCUAUUAGCUUGAUCUCAUUAUUUGGUUAUCACUGCUACUUAGUGAGUGUGAAUAGGUCAACAUUAGAAUCUUUUAGGGCUCCGGUAUUCAGAACAGGACCUGAUAAGGAUGGAUUCAGUUUAGGAAAAUAUGCCAACUUUGCUGAAAUAUUUGGAGAUGAUAAAAGGAAGUGGUUUCUUCCACUAUUUACAAGCUUGGGAGAUGGUGUAAACUUUCCAACUCAUACUCAGCCAGGUAGUUCUUACAAUUCAAUGGGUUCCACAACUCAAACAAGGUAUUAUAUUUAUUCUUGCUAUCAGCUUAGGGGAACAAGCUAAUUCUUACAAGACAGCCAAUGAAGACUCAAAUGGUCUUUUGACUCAACAACAUCCUGGCUGGGGUGAUCAAACAUUGCGAGGAGACUCAACGGCUUCUCAAGAUGAAGUAUCUGUUCUUACUCCUUUUGACCCAUCACUUGAUCAUCAGCUGAAUCAUCCAGUUUAAGAUGACGUAAAUACUUUUCAUCGUGGAACAACUAGUAAUCACUGCAAUUUGUUGCUAAAAGUAUAAUAUUACUGAUUUUUUAAAUAUAUAUCUGUAUGUUAUUUCUUUGUUGAUUGCUUUAUUUUCUUGUGUGAAAAAGUGUUUGUAAAAGUUUCUUGUACUUUUUCCUGUAUGUAUAUAUGUGUUACGAACUUAGAACUGUUGUACAGAUCAACACUUUUAAUAUUUUUUGACAAGUUGCAAUGACUUGAUGAUUGAAAAUAUCAUUAAUUAGUUUAAAAUUCCUAUACUGAUGAAUCAUUGAGGCCUGUUAGAUCUAACAAAAGUGAUGAAAUCACACUUCUUUGCAGAUGUUUUAUUUCUUCACAUUCAUCCCAUUUGAUUUUUACACACCUUUGAAGAGAAAGCUGUAAAGAACUAAUUAAGAAGGAUGUGAAGAAAAAACAUCUGUAGUUAAACACGAACUUGCCCAAGUGUGGCCUAGGAUUAAUGAGUCAGAUUGGUUUUUCAAUGAUUUCAGAUUCAAAACUUGCUACUAAGUAUGCUUUCCAUUUUCAUCUGUGGAUGUGUUAUGGGAGUGAACCAAUCCCACUACUUGAUUAAGAGUAGAUAUUUCAGGCAAUGGGUGCUGCAGACUGGUUACUUUCCUUGUGGUCUGCAGUUCAAAACUAUGCACAAUUGCAGAUGAACCAUAAAGGUCUCUGAACUUGUCAUUUAUACAGUUGUGUAUCAUUUAGACAAAACAAUAAUAAUAAUAAUUUUAUUAUUUUUGUUAGGCCCAGAAUGUCAUAAUGCUUCACCAAAUCAUAUGUUUUACAGCACUGCAUUGAAUAUCUUACCAGCAUAGAAAUGGUAUUUCAGAUAUGCUUUUGGCUGUCUGAAGUCUGUCCUAGCUGAUGUGUUCUGGUAUUAGAUAAAAUGAAUUGUGAUUUGUGAUAGACAAAAUGUUAGUCUAAAGUGCUAUUAUUACUUAACUUUAAUUAGACAGAUAUAAAGAAUUGAUUAAGAGGAAUGUGAAAAAGAAAAUCUCCAUAAGUGUGAUAAUGUUAUUAGGUUAAGUUAGUAAUUUGAAACUUACUAAGUUUCUCAAGAUAAGGUAAAAAGAGUGGCUGUGGGUAUUUAAUAAUAUGUGACAUAUAUUAGUUCAGUAAAAUGUACAUUGCCAUUUGAUAUCUUCUUCCUCAGUUUCAGGUGAGAAAGGAAACUUUUAAAAGACUUGGCUAUCUUCACAAUAUAUUUUUGGCAUAGUUCAGGGCUACUAACAUAUGUGUCCCCUUAGUAGAUCAACAGUAAAAUUAUGGACUUCCAAUGGUAAAAUCCAGGAUUCGAUUCUCUGCAGUGGACAGAGUGCAGGUACCCCAUUUUGUAGCUUUAUGCUGAAAGUACAUUAACUAGGUAUACAUUGAAACUGGUUUAAUUUAAAGAAUGUAAUAACACUUUUUAAACUUUUUUAUCUCACCAGAAAUUGCUAAAGGAGACAUUAAAUUAUCCUGCAAAUAGUGAUGUCAUGUUUAGAUUACUGAGUAAUUAAAUGUAAUAGUUUUGCUGCCUACUGUCUAAGUCCCUAUAGUUUAGUAAUGUGCCAAGUGGUAAGAAGACACAUUAAAAUAGUUCAGCAUUUUUCACUUCCUUUAGUAUCUUCUCAGUUGAUUGUAUAUAAAUAGUAUUAGUUUUGAGUCAACAUUAAGUUUAAUUUCAAAUUUUGGUAAAAAUUGUUACAGCUAAAGUGCAGACUUGUAGUUAGUUAUAUUUGAUUUCAGACUUCUCCAAGAUCUUUUCAUAAUUAAUUCUAAAAUACCCCAAACAUUUUUGGUAUAAAUUUGUUUGCACUUUUUAAUAAAACGUAUUUUAUCAAGACUUUUAACUCUCUAUUUUCGAGAAGCAUAAUUUUUUUUUAUUUCUCUGUUGUCUUCUUAUAAUGUUAUCAGAAUCAUCCCUUGGAACAUGAGUUCUGAAAUCUCAUUUUAUCAAACCUGCUAGAGGAACAUGAGUUUUGUACUGUAUGUGUACUUUUUAAUGAAAUCUCUUUACCAUAUUAAACCUAUUAUAUCAAUUUAGAUGUAUAAAGACAUUGGUGACAAAGCUUUAAAUCUGGUAAGGUUUUUAGAACACCACCUUAAGAAUGCCAUAUAAAGACUGUUUAGAAUGGUUUUGGAACUUCAUUUGUUAUUGAAACAGUCAUUUUCCAGAAAUAUGUUACAUUAGCAGUAGCAGUAUAUUAACCCCAAUCUUUGUUGUUGUAGGUUAUUUUCAAUAAGAUUUGUACAGCAUACAGUAGCUUAUCAAGUCAGAUAAGCCAUAGUACUCAAAUUCCCUAUGAAAAUGCUCUUUAAAACUAUAAAGAAUAUGAAAUUGUAGGCAUGUAAUGCAACAGAUUUAACAAAAAGGGAUUCAAAUGUUGUUCCUAUACUUAAUGGAAAAACCCAUAUGAAGUAUAACAAUUAUUAACAGUCUUAUUGGGAUCCUCUAGGACACUUGUCAUCUGUUUAUGAAUUCAUGGGACUAUUACAGGUUUUGACAGGUAAAAAUAACACUAAGUUUGUUGCGCUAGGUAAUAGAAGAUGCUUAUAGAUAACCUAAGUGAGGACAUGCAUGCCGUAGUCUUUAAUUAGAAUUCUAAGUCUUUAUAUUUAUACAUAUUUAAUAUACUUGUGGUUAAUGAUGAAGAAAAGAAACUUGUUGUCAAAUGUAUUAAAAUUUUAAUUUCUUUUAUAAAAUGUAGUACAAUGUUCGAUUGGUUAGAACUAUGUUUAUGCAUGUAUAACAUGAUUGAAGAUAAUUACUUUCAAAAUAUUUAAAAUGGUUGUCAUCAUGCAUGUUUACAUUUAAUUUAAAUUAUGAAAACAAAAUAUUAGAAAAAUGUGUCAUUGAGGUAGUUUUCUCUGAUACCAAGUGUAAUUUAUGACCUGAUUAAUAAAAUAUAUCUGCGGAUAUAGUAAUCUGUCCUUUAAACUUGCAUAGUUCUUGGUAGAUAUAAUAACAGUGACAAAUAUAAUCUCAGUACACCUUUCAGAUUGCAUGAUAAAUCAUUUUAAUUGGUGUACUAUAGAAUUGUUAGGAAUUUCACUAAAACUAGUGUUCAAAGUUCUAAAAAUAAAUAUAAAACCCAAUCUGUCAUUGAAUUCCCCACUUGUCUUUGAAUUAUACCAUCUUUAGGAAAUCGACACAAUAAGACUUGUGUUGGAGUUUAUUUUACUCACCACAGUGAACCUUUAUUUAUAAAGAAUUUGAAGAAUUAUUAACAUUCAUGCUACUAAUUCAUUCUUCUGAAUUAUUUAACAGAAAGCUGUUUCAAAUACUAAAAGUAAAUUUGAUGCCCAAUCUUUCAUUUGAUUCCUCAUUUCUCACUGAGUUAUACUGAUUUUGAAACAUUCCACCCGUCAUCAGUUUUUCUGGACAAGAGCAAAUUGAUACAAGUUUAGGCUUUUUCAUAGUGGUGGAGUGUAUAUGUACAGUGUUAAUAUAUUGGGCUUCAUAUUUAAUUUUAGUGUAUUAAAUAGCUUGUUUGCUGAAUGAUUCAGAAGAAAAAAUUAGUAUUGUUUGUUUGCAUUUUUGUCUUGUUGAAUUUCAUGCAAAGCUAUUGUGAGGAAUAUCUGCACUAGCUGUCCCUAAUUUUGAAGUGAUAGACUAGAGGAAAGACAACGAGUCAACACCACCAAUCUUGGGUUACUCAUUACCAACAAGUAGUGGAUUGACAUUAUAACACCACCAUGGCUGAAAGGGCAAGCAUGUUUGAUGACGUGUUUCAAUCCCUCGCUAGACUCGAUUUUAAGGAAAUUUCCAGAUUAUUUGUCAGACAACCUGACCUGUAUCAGACAUUGUUUGGAAGGCUUUAUUGGUGGUCUGAAUACAAAAACAUAAACCCUCAAGAAGUUGCAUUAUAUUAGAAAAAAAUAAACUCAAAUGAGGCUAAUAUUACUUAAUAUCUUAAGGAAAUAAACAUUCAAUGACCUGUAAAACUUUUAGACAGAACAGCGAUCUUGGCCAAUCACGUUCAGUGUUUUCAUUCUAACCAGCUUGACCUGCCACCAACUACAUUAAAGUAAAGCCUGUAGUAAGACUAGAUUUGCAUUGGAACUCUAAAACAUACUGCUAUAACAUUAUACGUACACAAUGCUUGGGUGCUGCAUAUGUACACACACGCACACAGCUGAUAUGUAUUGUCAUCCAUACUUGUAGUUUGUAUUGCCCUGGAGAGAGGCAAAGUUAGCCUUAUUUUAUUUAUUGUUAUUCUGUUUUGUACUGAUCAAACUUUCAUAAAAUUUUGUUUGCAGUUCUCAUUAUUAUGCUCUGUUUGAUUCAUGGAUUUUCAUGCUUUUCUCAUGGUAGCUAGGCCUUCCAUAUUUCCUAGACUCCAUUGCUAACGUAUAUGUCUAAUGUUAGUCUUAGGCCUAUACAUGCAUAAUUGAAAGGAUGUCAGUGUUUCAAUUGUGACGAUUAACGAUAAAAAUUUUGAGUUUGAUUUUAUAAAUUUGAUCGUUUUAGUUUCUACUGAUGGCUUAUCUGUAAGAAGUUGAGACAGCCUUGUUAGUUUUUUAUUGUCGUAAGCAUCCAUGCUAGAAAUUAAUCUCACUAAAUAUUCGUGUUAUCAGUGUUCAUUUUAGUUGCGAAUUCUUACCUCCACUAUAUAUGCAUACAAACAUCAUGCAGUACAAUGUGUGGUAAUGUAAAUAACUGAGCUGUAUACAUUGUACAAUGUUACCACAUACAGCCAUUCAUACUCAGUUGAACUCCAUACAAAAUUUACAUGCAUAAAGCAGCAUAGAAGUGUAGCUCGUCUACAACAAAGGGUUUAGGGACAAGAACAGCAUUAUCAGUCAAUCAUAAAAGGGAACUUUUCCUAACAUUUUCAGCCCCUUUUGGUGAAUUGUACCAACAUAUUUCUUGUACAAAGUACAAUCUUUUUUAAACAAAAAAAUGGACCAAAAGAUAUUUUUGUGAAGGGUUCAGAUUUUCUUAGUUUGUAGUUAGCAAAUUUCAUGAUAAUUUUGGUUGAGUAUUGGAGUCAACAUUAUGUGUGUAAUGUGAACAUGGAUAAGUGUACAGUAGACUGCGAUGCUGUUUCAAGUAAGGGUCUGUUCCAGGACACUAGUCGUACAAUUGGACAACAGGAGGGGUUUAAGUUGGUUGUCUGAGGAAGUUUUUAGUCAUCUCAGAUGACCGUUAAAAUUGCAAAUAAAGCCAAAACCCUCUAUAUACACAAAGCUUGAGACCAUGUGACUUUGAAGCCUUUUGACAUCACCUAAAGAGGCCCAAGAUGAAAUAAUGUAGAACUGUUUGAAAAUGUAUAUACUACUAAAUUAUCUUUUAAAGUAUAUAUUAUAAUUAUCUAUACAUUCAACCAUAGAACAAAAUAACUGUCGCAUAUUAAAAUUCUUUGCUUUUUUAGUAUGAUUUCUAAAUAUAACAGAUAACACAGAAGCAGUUCAGUGACAAAUACACUUUUUGUAUUAUAAAACUAUUUGAAAACAUUCUGAAUGAAAUAAAAUAAUCCAUAUUUGUAAAAAAAUUGUAUUUAGAAAUACCAUUUUAAUUAUUGCAAACCUGUGAAAUAAUAUGAUACACAACUACACAGAUUUCUAAGUUUAUAAAUUCCAGCUGGACAAUUGAAUUAGCUGUAAAGAAAAGCUACCACUAAGUGGAAAUACUUCAUUUGUAAAAAUUAUGAUUCUCUAAGUGUAAUUUAUAGUUUUGCACUUGCUAAUAAGUACUUAAUUUUGACUGAUAAUUUAGUAAUUUGUCUACUUUGGAUUUUGAAUAAUUGUUUAUAUAUGCAUUACCCAAUACUUUUUCCAUUUUUUUAAGUAAUUCCGUUGUAUAUUCACAUGAUUCACAGUGUAGGUCUCUGCUUAAACAAAAGUCUCUCUGUAUAAAACCAAUUGUAAUGUUAAAACAGUUGAAUUUUGACACUCAAAAACUGUUUUUCCAACUUGUCAGUUAUAAGUUUCUGAAAUACAGCACAGCAAAAUGCCCCUGUUUUUAUCACAAUUUCAAUAGAAUAUGUGAGAUCACCACGGUCACACAUUACAAUUAGUUUGCAACCCCAGCUGUUCUAAACAGUUGUGUUUUGUCUGUGACAAGCACACAAAUACAUGUGUUACAUACCAGUUUCAGUUUGAAGCAGACAUAUCCAACAAUGUAUAUUAUGAUGUUCAUUAUGUCUUGAUUGAAGGAAAAGUCAACAUUUGUAUUAGUACUCUCUUGAACAAGUUUAGCAUCAAUAGCAGUGAACUCAGUAGCACAAUAAACAUUGUUUGAGAACAAUACACAUAAAUCAUGCAAAGAUAUGUUACUAUAUUUGGAAGAUCUCAGCUGUAGGAGAUUUUACUUUAAGCGUUUUGUUUUUAAAUUUAAAAAUCUGUUGUAGUGAUAUAUUGUAGUUACUACCACUAAGUUGUCUGUAUUGACCAAAUCAAGUUUUUAACGUACUUGUCUUAAAUUUACCAAAUAAGACACACUUCCUAUGUAGUUCUGUUAGUACACAGUUGAUAAUAUAGGUUUUUUGUAGUAUGAAUAAUAGCCUCAAAUGUUUCUCUACUUAGACCUAGUUUAUAUUUACUAACAGCUACUGUCUGCCAAGAAAGAAACUUUCUGAGAAACUCAACCUGAGAAUCAUUAACAGAAAACACGGGAAACAUAUUCUGGUUCCUCUUUGUCAACCCUUUGUUGUGUGACUUUACAUUCACAAUUUUCUACCAGUCUAUAAUUGCUUUAAGAAACAAUGCAGUAUUUUCCCAUCCAGUAAAUAAAUCAGGAUACUGUAGUUCAAGCACUUUCAAAGCAUACAUGUUUGUUCUGUCAAACAAUUUUACAGCAAAACUUACAUUCUGCUUUUGAAUGUUUGAUGGAAACAAAACAUUUUGUGACAAUUUAUGUACAUAUUUAAUAAUUGUAUUUUGUUCAACUUUGUAGGUAUUUACAAGAUUCUGAUAAUUAGCAGGUACAUUUCUGAUAUUUUCAUCACCAGGAAAUGUAUAUUGAUUCACUUGUGAAAUCCAGUUAUUGUAUACGCACUUCAAAAUAUGGGCCAAGUCAAAUACUGGAAAAAGUGGCCUUUUCAACCCCCUUGGGUUACAAGCCAAUAUCUUUAAAAAUGUAGUAGUAGUUAGAAACAAGGAAUAAAAUAUCUUGAUUGUUUAUAUUGUUAUGUAUAAAAAUAGAAAUUAGUUUAUAUCCAACAUCUUAAAUUUUAAUGAUACAAAAUUUCAUAUGUUCAUGUAGUUCUUCUGCUGUCAGAUAUUUAACAAGAUAAAAUAUACUACAUUCUUAUGAUCUGAAAAUACAGAUUCCAACAUAACAAUGCAUACUGAAUCAGUCAAUUUAUCGUUGUCUUUCCCAAAAGUACCAAUAAGCUGACUACAUUUAUAUUCAGAAGUUCAUUAAAUAUGUAUCUCAUCAAGAAGAACAUUUACUAUUCUUUCUUUCUCAUUUAUCAUAGUCAUCUUCUGCUUUAAAUAAAGCAUGUACACUUCAUCAUUGCCAGAAGAACUCACUAGCAUCCAGGACUUGUAUGCUGCAGGAGACUGUAUAAAAAGUAUAUAUAUGCAAAGAGUGUAGUGUAAAAGUUUUAUCUAUAUCUAUUUGAGGAUAAAUUUAAUAUACUCAAAUUUGCUGCAAUAAAAAUUAUAUUAAUUUUAUCUGAGUAAUGUUAAUCUGAAGAUUCAUUAAUGAUACCAAUUACUUUAGUUUAACUUGCUGUGAAAUGUAAAUGAUGUACUUCAUGCCAUGCUUUUAUUUCAUUUAUCGUACAUCCACAUUGUGCCAGUUUAUUUCUGGGAAGCUUUAAGUUAUGGAUGUAUGUAAUAUAUUGUACAUUAAUAGUUAUCAUUAAAAAUCUUCGAAGUUCAGGUGGUCCUACAUUGUUAUUUAAAAAUAAUACAAGAGAAUUAACUAGACACGUUAUUUUUGUAAGACACAAUCUUCAAAAUGUCAUCAAAGUCUAAAACUGAAUUGUUUUCAAGUAUAAAUCUCGGAUCAUCUUGAAACUUUUUCUUCUAUAUCACCAGCUUUUUUAUCAGGAUCACUUCUUGCAACUGGUAGUUAGUAGUAAGAUAAGGUAAAUUAGUAAACAAAGUUGGAUAAGCAUCAUCAGUUAAUUUCAUCUUAUUUCUUUGAACACAAGUGUUUCCAUUUUCUGUUGGAAGUAUAUCACUGCAAAUAAAGUGAUUUUCAUAACCACAUUAUUAAUCAUUGGUAUGAAAUCCUUUCUUGGAAUUUUUCGUAGCCACAGUUGUUUCCUUCAUCUUUUGGAAAACUACACAUGUGAUGUACCCCUAUAAUUGCUUCUACAUUGUGGAACACACCACUUCCUUGGCAUUUUAUUCUUCUUAAACUCGGGCCUAACUAAGUUUUGUGGAAAGUUUAUAAUGAAAUUAGGAUAACUUCUGUUUACCAGAACUAUACUCAAAUCUAGUUUAGUUAUUUAAAAUAGUACACAAUUAAUUUUAAAAAUCUUUUGAUAAAUUCUGCUAUAAAAAUGUAACUCUUCCACGUAAUAAGAUCAAGAGUGCAAAUAUACAACUUUCUAUCAGUGGCUCUGACCUUUCCUGUUGUAUGGAAUCCAUUAAUAGUCAACUUUGUCAAAACUUGGGCCUCUUUUGAUGCACCCCUUGUCAAGUGAGUGCAAGAUUUGACUGUAGAGAGCUUUGGUCAAGUGCCCUAACCAUCAGACCCAUAAAUUAGUAGCAUGAAUGUUAUGUAUUCUUCAAAUCCUAUAUCAAUGUGGUGAGUAAAAGAUAAGUAAAAAUGACAUGCAUGUAGUUUUAAAGUAUCAAAUUUUGAGUGCCUGAAAGAUAAAUGUAAAUCAUUAAUAAUGAUAAUAAUAAUCAAAAGCAAAAUCUCAUUUUUUGAAAACUGAGUGAAAAUAGUUUUGUGAAGUUCAGGAAUUUUACCUUGAGUUUUGAAGAAAUAGUUCAGUAAAGAUUCAUUUAUGUUAUUUUAAAAUGUAAUGUUAAACAGAUACUCUGUCAUAAAAAAAUUCCAUUACAGCAAAUAUCAUUUUUAUGAAAUACAAUAUACAUCAUUUUGAAUUAUGUUACAGAAAAACUUUUAAUUUCUGUUUGCUCCUGGUGGCUUGGUGGUAAGUUUAAGAACUCCUAAUGCUAAAAAUAGUGUUUAGGUAUCCAAGGUGGGCACAGAACAGAUAAGUCCAUCAUAUGGCCUUGUGAAUAACAAACAAAAGUAUUUCUGUUGAUGCAUAUGUGCCAUUAAAUGGAUAAGGAGAGAUAAAAAAUAUUUAAUUCACACCAAAUACAUAAAAGUGAUGUCCUUUGAUAAUUUAUCCUAUUUUCUACUUUCAAAUGUUCUAUAUACUAUGCUACCUUUUUUUUUUUUGUACAUUUAUGCAUACCUUCCACCUUUUUGGAUGUUCAUCAUAGGCACAUUUUUCUAAGCAUGGUUUGGGUUAAUUCUGAUAUUAGUCUUUUUAGUUUUGAUUAAUUUCUAUACUUUGUGUAUUAUUUAAUUUUCUUAUUAUGACUUAAUGUAAUGCCUUACAGUGUUAGCUAAUAUAGGUUGUUUUUUUUUGGAAAUUUUUGUAAUAAAAUUUUAAAACAUGGUAUGUAAUGAAAAAGCUUUUUAACCAUGGGAAAGAAAAAAUAUCAUUUGCUUAAUUAAUGUAAGUUAUCUGUGAUUACUGUUUAAGUUCCUGUUGUUUUUUUAUAAUUUUUUUUUAUAAAUAUUAUUUGAACAUGUGGCUUUUUCAUGUAAAACAUGUGGAUUCAUUCUGAAUUUUAAUUUGUGGAGCUUUAAUAGCCAUAAAUGAGACAAAUGUGAAAUGCAAUAAAGUUGACUCACAAGUCUAUUAGUAAGAAAUUAGAGCUUAAUAAGAAUAAAGAAACAAUAUAAUUUCAGACUGCUAAUUCUAAUCCUUUAAUUAUUACACAUCCUAAGCACAUGUAUUUGAAACAAUUACAAAAAAUUGGUGAGAUUUUUUGUGUGAAUGCAGGAAUUACCUGUAAAUCUUGGUUAUUGAAAUAAACCUGGUUUUUGUGUGCU
RNA transcript from Limulus polyphemus (Atlantic horseshoe crab), 11277 nucleotides. It is a transcript of the gene named palmitoyltransferase ZDHHC2-like, with no coding region annotated. The record is from RefSeq and is a predicted model, not a curated record. Lineage: Eukaryota; Metazoa; Arthropoda; Merostomata; Xiphosura; Limulidae. The transcript has 12 exons.